AAAAAGGGCUUCUGCCGUGCGUGGCACGGGGGGGUCCCACGGCCGCCCCCGCGGAAUCGACAUCAAGAGAUUUCGGAAGCACAAUUUUUGGGGUGGGGGUCGCUGGUAAUCGCUUGUUCUGGCGCCCCG
This 129-nucleotide small nuclear RNA is filed under the name Acanthisitta chloris (rifleman). RNAcentral's name for it is "U11 spliceosomal RNA". It matches the Rfam family "U11 spliceosomal RNA". The record is from Rfam by way of RNAcentral. Lineage: Eukaryota; Metazoa; Chordata; Aves; Passeriformes; Acanthisittidae.